GCGGGGCGCGGUGGCGCAUGCCUGUAGUCCCAGCUAAUCGGGAGGCUGAGGCUGGAGGAUCUCUUGAAUCCAGGAGUUCUGGGCUGUAGUGCGCUAUGCUGAUCGGGUGUCUGCACUAAGUUCGGCAUCAAUAUGGUGACCUCCCAGGAGCAGGGGAACACCAGGUUGCCUAAGGAGGGGUGAACCGGCCCAGGUCAGAAACAGAGCAGGUCAAAACUCCCCUGCUGAUCAGUAGUGGGAUUGCGCCUGUGAAUAGCCACUGCACUCCAGCCUGGGCAACAUAGUGAGACCCCGUCUCU
Molecule: signal recognition particle RNA, 299 nt
Filed under: Cebus imitator (Panamanian white-faced capuchin)
Lineage: Eukaryota; Metazoa; Chordata; Mammalia; Primates; Cebidae
Description: Metazoan signal recognition particle RNA (ENSCCAG00000009191.1)
Rfam family: Metazoan signal recognition particle RNA
About the family: The signal recognition particle (SRP) is a universally conserved ribonucleoprotein.
Source: RNAcentral